CCCUCCUGGCUAAACAAGAAAAAGACCACAAUAACCCUCUCCGCCCUCUCCGCCGCUGGAGGAAGGGCGGUCUCGUGUUCUCCACCGGCUACCUUCAGGCCUAAGCGUGGAGGUCAUCUUCCAGAAGGGCUUCUCGGCGGUGGUGGCGGUGGAGGAAGGGCGGCGCCCGCUUCCACCUCUGGUGCUUGUCCAUGGAUUUUCGUCUACGGGAGCUUCCACUGGGCCUGGCGGUGGCCGAGCACCGACUCCCCUGCUUCUCCCGCGCCGGCUUCGCUGCUACGCCCUUAGCGUCUUGGGCCAGGACGAAAGUGAUGUGCCUACAGGAGCAGCAGCAGGUACUCUCCAGAUGCUUGUCACCCACUGCUUGCAGGAACUGUGCUUGUAUGUUCUGUUCCUCCUCUAAUAUGUUACUGAACAUGCAGAAAAAGGGUGGUCAUUAUCUUGAUUGGUGGUCAUUAUCUUGAUUAUUGGUCUAGUGUGGAGGUAUCUCAUAACCAAAUGGAUUGCCACCGUUAAGGUAAACAGUGUCACAAUUUUUCUCUACAUUCUACGUGAUCUGGAAUUCUGGAUAUAUAUUUAUUUGCAGAUAAUCAGGAGUUUGGGCUCAUACAACUCAAAUUGGAUUUAAAUUGGUUCAGAUUCGAAUGAAUCAGGCAACCAGCUCAAGGGCUAAUCAAAUCCGAGUGUGAACACGACUUACUCAUAAAGGGAUCAGAUGCAAGCUCUCAAGAUUCAAGGGUCCAGAUUAGAAGAUAAUCUUUCACAUGGAUCCAAGUGUGAACAUGACUUAAAGAUCAAUGGAUGAAAAGUAAUUAAUGAAGAUCCAAGGAAGAUUAAUUAAGGCACCAACUCAUGAAUGCCAAAUAGGAAGAAAAUCAAUGGAGCAAAUAAAGAAUAUGAUUCAAAGGCAGAAACCAAACUCUAGAUCCAAUGGUCCUUAUUCAUGGCGCCUCUUCUCCCUCUUCUCUAUAUAAGCCCAUGCCUCCUCCCUCUUGUGGAGGAAGCUUCACGCCCAAGAAGUCUACCUAGCUGCCGUCCCCCUUCUUUUCCCUCUCUUCUCCACGCUCAAGAAGUCUAGGGGAGGUCCUAACUCUAGCAACCCCUCCUUUUCCUUGCCACCACCGUACUCCUCUAUAAAUCCCUUCUCCACAUCCCAAAAAGACUAAGAGAGGUCCUAACCCUAGCAUUCCUUCCACCAUAUUUAGGAGAGAUCCUAAUCCUAGUGCUGCUAUCUUUCUUCUCCAUUAUCUUCAUGCUUCCAUCUACCUUUCUUCUUUGGAGUUCCUGGACCAAGCCUUCCAGCCAUCCUAUCGCUGUCUGUACGGAGGAAGACGAAAGAUUCAAAGAAGCACACCUACCAUCGGACGCAAUUAGAAGAUUCAACUUGGAGUUAAUUGUCUUGUAUCAUAUUUUUAUCUUUUUUUUUAUGUAUGCUUUAUUAGAUUAAUAAAAAGUAUUUUUAUUACAAUUUCCUUGUCUCUUUAUUAGUUUCUCUCAAUUUUUUUUUCUUUUUUGUUUUUUUGAAACAAUCGGAUUUAGAUCCCUGCGGAUACGAUCCCGACUCAUCUUAUUUACAUAAUAGUGAGUAAAAUUAAAUUCAGUACGCUACGACAUGCAUUAGUAUGUCAUUGCAUGAUAUAUACUUCAUCUACUAGAUGUCUCAACUUUCUGGAGUAACUCGUCCUUUUUCCCUGCUGAUGAUGGCAAUGACCUUCAAUGUGAAGAUUGAUGCAUUUGCAUCUUACCGUGGAAUGGUUCCAAGUUUCCAUUGAAUCCUUAAUUAUGAAAAAAAGAAUCACUUGGAAACCUGCAAUCAUCUCAAGUGAUCUUGUUUGCUUAAGAAAUGCUAGGCCUUGCUGUCUACUUUGCAAAAUAUGUUUAUGUCCUAAAACCUUCAUUAUAUCAAUUGCCAACUUAUUUAUCCUUUUGUACAACCUCCAUAUUGCUCAUUUUGGCUUAUGCAUGCACUUGUUUACGCUACCGCACAAACUUUUUAAACACACCUUUGAUGGCCGGUUUUAACUUUUGAAGCAUAGAUUGUGUAUCUGAAAAUUUGUGAAAGAAGAUCUAAUUUGAGAAAAGAAGAUGGAACCAUUCAAUUCACAGUGACACUCAGCUUGGCUGCAAAAGUUUUUGAAAAUUCAGUCCCCCUUUGCAAAGAAACAUUUUUGUCUUGAGCGAUGGAAGAUCUACUAGUCCUAAGCCCAUGUGAUAUAAAAAAGAGCUGCAUUUGGUUUGAGACUUGAAGGAAAAAGAACUCCACUUUUACCCAGUUUGAAUCUUGCCAGUUUGAAUGGAAGGUGUUGCCCAUUAUGUGAUGUUAGAUUCUUCAUGGGAAACGGUGCAGAAAUAAUGUUGUCAUGGCUGAAGAAUUUGCACAAUGAACUUUGAUUUAUUGACGAGAUCCUCUGAGGCGUCCCUUUUCCUCUCAGUUUUGAUUUAGUGGCAUAAUUUCACUUGUGCAUGCACAUUGUUUGAAAGCCCAGAUUGAGGUGCACCAAUUGAAGGGUGACGAUACUCAUGCCAAUCUUAUGAUGGAAAAACAAGAUUUGUUUACUUUAUCUUUCGCGUUUCCAAAACUAUUUGAGUCAGUUGCUGAUGAUUAAUAUAUUAUAUUAUAUUAUUAUAA
This is a non-coding RNA of Elaeis guineensis (African oil palm), 2629 nucleotides long. The record is from RefSeq and is a predicted model, not a curated record. NCBI's taxonomy places the organism in Eukaryota, Viridiplantae, Streptophyta, Magnoliopsida, Arecales, Arecaceae.